This 621-nucleotide ribosomal RNA is filed under the name Lactococcus lactis. Its description in RNAcentral is "bacterial SSU rRNA". It matches the Rfam family "Bacterial small subunit ribosomal RNA", at positions 75 to 682 of the family's 1533-position model. The record is from RNAcentral. Lineage: Bacteria; Bacillati; Bacillota; Bacilli; Lactobacillales; Streptococcaceae.
GGUACUUGUACCGACUGGAUGAGCAGCGAACGGGUGAGUAACGCGUGGGGAAUCUGCCUUUGAGCGGGGGACAACAUUUGGAAACGAAUGCUAAUACCGCAUAAAAACUUUAAACACAAGUUUUAAGUUUGAAAGAUGCAAUUGCAUCACUCAAAGAUGAUCCCGCGUUGUAUUAGCUAGUUGGUGAGGUAAAGGCUCACCAAGGCGAUGAUACAUAGCCGACCUGAGAGGGUGAUCGGCCACAUUGGGACUGAGACACGGCCCAAACUCCUACGGGAGGCAGCAGUAGGGAAUCUUCGGCAAUGGACGAAAGUCUGACCGAGCAACGCCGCGUGAGUGAAGAAGGUUUUCGGAUCGUAAAACUCUGUUGGUAGAGAAGAACGUUGGUGAGAGUGGAAAGCUCAUCAAGUGACGGUAACUACCCAGAAAGGGACGGCUAACUACGUGCCAGCAGCCGCGGUAAUACGUAGGUCCCGAGCGUUGUCCGGAUUUAUUGGGCGUAAAGCGAGCGCAGGUGGUUUAUUAAGUCUGGUGUAAAAGGCAGUGGCUCAACCAUUGUAUGCAUUGGAAACUGGUAGACUUGAGUGCAGGAGAGGAGAGUGGAAAUCCAUGUGUAGCGGU